Long non-coding RNA from Medicago truncatula (barrel medic), 1733 nucleotides. RefSeq lists it as uncharacterized. The record is from RefSeq and is a predicted model, not a curated record. The transcript is spliced from 4 exons. NCBI's taxonomy places the organism in Eukaryota, Viridiplantae, Streptophyta, Magnoliopsida, Fabales, Fabaceae.
UUGGUCCCUUCAAUACAAAGCCAAUUCCAUUUCGUGUCUGAUAAAGAUAGGGAUACCCGGAUACGUAAAGACCCUUGUGUUGUCUGGACAUUUACACGGCGGCCGGAUAGCAGCUCCGCCACCACCCAUCGCCGGAGCUGUCUCACUCUCAACUUUACCUUAUGACUCUGUCUAACAAGAAGGCCAAUCAUGAUCACAUUGAUCGAAUCAGUGACUUACCAUGUAAUGUUAUUGAUGAUAUCCUAGCACGCUUGUACAUCAAAGACCUAGUUAGGACUAGUAUUUUGUCAAAAAAUUGGAGGUAUAUGUGAACUUCAGCCCCACAACUUUGGUUUGGUGAAGACUAUUUUGACGAGUACAAGGAUCUCGAUUACCCUGGCCCUGUAGCUUCUAAAAUCAUCACAGAUGUUCUUAUGCAACACAACGGUCCGAUACAUAAGUUUCAUCUUUUCAUACCUUAUGACUACAAUUUCAAGAUCAUAAUUGAAUUCCUCAGUACGUGGAUUCCGUUCUUGUCUAGGAGGGAUAUUAAACAUCUCGAGCUUUUGAACUACGGAACACAUGUCGAUCAAAUGCCAUAUACUGUCCUCGCUUGUAAGGAGUUGACUUACUUCAAAUUUUCCGGAUUUAACUUGUCAAUUCCACAUGAUUUCUGAGGCUUUAAAAGAUUGCUUAAUCUUCACUUAUCUAAUGUUACAUUCGAGUCCGGUGCACUUGAGGGUCUUAUUUCUGGCUGUCCAUUACUUGAAAAGCUCAGCAUUCAAUUUUGUGAAGGUUUUGAAUAUUUUGAUAUUUCUGUUACUACUCUCAAAGUCUUAUUGCUACAAUUUCAUCAAGAGAUGAAGUCAAUUUGUCUCAAGAAAGCAAUUAAUUUGAUUGAUCUUACACUCAAAGCUACUAAUGGAUGCGUAUGUAUUUGGUUUGAUCAAAAGUUUACCAAAAAACAUUCAAAGGCUUUCUAUUGGUCCAUGACUCGGUGUUUACAAGGUUAGAAAACAAACAUCACUAUAGAUUGUAUAUUUAUUAUUUUCAGUUGGUUUGUAUAGUUAAAAGAGAAGCAAUGUUGAAUUUUGAUCGAUGGUCCAAUCCAAUAUAUAUGCUGAAAGUUAUUAUUUUUCAUAUGCAUAGAUGCAGUAUGCAAAUAUCAUUCCUCAAACGCUGCUAAAAAGCUCGUUCAGCUCCAUGAAGUAUCUGAAAUUGGGUAAUGUGAAUUUCAAUGAUAGAGGAGAACUUUUGUAUAUUGUUAGUGCACUCCAAUGUGCUUCUGGCUUGGUUGAACUUGUUAUACAGAGUUUCGUGGAUGUUUGUAACAUACAAGUGUCGGAUCAUUCAGAGGAGUUAGAAUGCAAUAGUUAUUGCCUUAAUAAUCUGCAGAUUGUGAAUAUCCAUGUUAGAGCUGGUUCUCAGCAUGCAAUGAGUUUGAUACGGUUCAUACUUGCAAAUUCUACAUCAUUAAGGACUCUUACUUUUAAAGUUGCUCCUAGUUCUAAGAAUUUCACAAGACUUGUUAAGGAUGGAACGAGCAUCACAAAGAGCACAUGUUGAAUUCCUUCUAUGGUGAAUAUCGAUGUUAGUGCACAUGUGAGUAUUUGAGGAUGCGGUGACAGUGAAUGUAUUGUUUGUACUACGGAUGUGUUUGGUAAAAUUAAGCUAUAAGCAUCCUGAUAGUCGAAAAGUUAGCUUAUUGCUGAUGGUUGAUAGCUAAUAGCUGAAAAAUUAGCUGAUUGAAAUUA